GACGAACGCUGGCGGCGUGCUUAACACAUGCAAGUCGAACGGAAAGGCCCUGCUUUUGUGGGGUGCUCGAGUGGCGAACGGGUGAGUAACACGUGAGUAACCUGCCCUUGACUUUGGGAUAACUUCAGGAAACUGGGGCUAAUACCGGAUAGGAGCUCCUGCUGCAUGGUGGGGGUUGGAAAGUUUCGGCGGUUGGGGAUGGACUCGCGGCUUAUCAGCUUGUUGGUGGGGUAGUGGCUUACCAAGGCUUUGACGGGUAGCCGGCCUGAGAGGGUGACCGGCCACAUUGGGACUGAGAUACGGCGCAGAAUCCUACGGGAGGCAGCAGUGGGAAAUAUUGCACAAUGGGCGGAAGCCUGAUGCAGCAACGCCGCGUGCGGGAUGACGGCCUUCGGGUUGUAAACCGCUUUCGCCUGUGACGAAGCGUGAGUGACGGUAAUGGGUAAAGAAGCACCGGCUAACUACGUG
This 468-nucleotide ribosomal RNA is filed under the name uncultured bacterium. RNAcentral's name for it is "partial 16S ribosomal RNA". It matches the Rfam family "Bacterial small subunit ribosomal RNA", at positions 28 to 507 of the family's 1533-position model. The record is from RNAcentral.